Molecule: ribosomal RNA, 468 nt
Filed under: uncultured bacterium
Lineage: Bacteria
Description: partial 16S ribosomal RNA
Rfam family: Bacterial small subunit ribosomal RNA
Source: RNAcentral
GACGAACGCUGGCGGCGUGCUUAACACAUGCAAGUCGAACGGAAAGGCCCUGCUUUUGUGGGGUGCUCGAGUGGCGAACGGGUGAGUAACACGUGAGUAACCUGCCCUUGACUUUGGGAUAACUUCAGGAAACUGGGGCUAAUACCGGAUAGGAGCUCCUGCUGCAUGGUGGGGGUUGGAAAGUUUCGGCGGUUGGGGAUGGACUCGCGGCUUAUCAGCUUGUUGGUGGGGUAGUGGCUUACCAAGGCUUUGACGGGUAGCCGGCCUGAGAGGGUGACCGGCCACAUUGGGACUGAGAUACGGCCCAGACUCCUACGGGAGGGAGCAGGGGGGAAUAUUGCAAAAUGGGCGGGAGCCUGUUGCAGCACCGCCGCGUGCGGGAGGACGGCUUUCGGGUUGUAUACCGUUUUCGCCUGUGACAAGGCGUGAGUGACGGUAAUGGGUGAAGAAGCACCGGCUAAAUACGUG